UACGUAGGGGCCGAGCGUUGUCCGGAAUUAUUGGGCGUAAAGAGCUCGUAGGCGGUCUGUCGCGUCGGCUGUGAAAACCCGGGGCUCAACCCCGGGCCUGCAGUCGAUACGGGCAGACUAGAGUGCGGUAGGGGAGACUGGAAUUCCUGGUGUAGCGGUGAAAUGCGCAGAUAUCAGGAGGAACACCGGUGGCGAAGGCGGGUCUCUGGGCCGUAACUGACGCUGAGGAGCGAAAGCGUGGGGAGCGAACAGG
This 253-nucleotide ribosomal RNA is filed under the name uncultured bacterium. RNAcentral describes it as "partial 16S ribosomal RNA". It matches the Rfam family "Bacterial small subunit ribosomal RNA", at positions 524 to 776 of the family's 1533-position model. The record is from RNAcentral.